RNAcentral lists this unclassified non-coding RNA (520 nucleotides) under uncultured Glomus. RNAcentral's name for it is "SSU rRNA". It matches the Rfam family "Eukaryotic small subunit ribosomal RNA", at positions 569 to 1090 of the family's 1831-position model. Lineage: Eukaryota; Fungi; Glomeromycota; Glomeromycetes; Glomerales; Glomeraceae. RNAcentral also lists the same sequence under 1 other name. The record is from RNAcentral.
AGCAGCCGCGGUAAUUCCAGCUCCAAUAGCGUAUAUUAAAGUUGUUGCAGUUAAAAGCUCGUAGUUGAAUUUCGGGGUCUGUCCGUCGGUCGGGCUUCACAGUCCGUACUGGUGUGAUGGGUUCCUACCUUCUGAAUAACCGGCAUGCCAUUCAGUUGGUGCGCCGGGGAAGCAGAGCUAUUACCUUGAAAAAUUAGAGUGCUUAAAGCAGGCUAGUGCUUGAAUAGAUUAGCAUGGAAUAAUAAAAUAGGACGGCAUGGUUCUAUUUUGUUGGUUUCUAGGAUCACCGUAAUGAUUAAUAGGGAUAGUUGGGGGCAUUAGUAUUCAAUUGUCAGAGGUGAAAUUCUUGGAUUUAUUGAAGACUAACUUCUGCGAAAGCAUUUGCCAAGGAUGUUUUCAUUAAUCAAGAACGAAAGUUAGGGGAUCGAAGACGAUCAGAUACCGUCGUAGUCUUAACCAUAAACUAUGCCGACUAGGGAUCGGACGAUGUUAAUUUUUUAAUGACUCGUUCGGCGCCUUA